AAGUUUAAAAUUCAAAAAAAGUCUUUUAAUUAAAUAAAAAAUAAUUUUUUUCUAGAAAUUAUAUUAAAAUUUAAUGAAUUUGUGAUACGGGAAAUAUUUUCCGGAAAACCACGUGGUCGCUGUUUAUGUCUUCUUUUUAAACGCCAUUGUGACUUGGAUAAAAUAUUUUGUGUAAAAAAAAAAGUUACAAAUUUUUGAACAUGAAGUAACAUAUAAGGCUGAAGAUUCAAAAACUAGAGAAUUAACAAGAGAUUGAGAUUAAGAUGGUUACUCAAGCAGACGAAAUUGUUGUAAAAGUCGAAGAUGAUGUUAAAGAG
Cotesia glomerata is the source of this 317-nucleotide long non-coding RNA. RefSeq lists it as uncharacterized. Lineage: Eukaryota; Metazoa; Arthropoda; Insecta; Hymenoptera; Braconidae. The transcript is spliced from 2 exons. The record is from RefSeq and is a predicted model, not a curated record.